CCUACGGGGAGCAGCAGUGGGGGAUAUUGCACAAUGGGGGGAACCCUGAUGCAGCGACGCCGCGUGGGUGAAGAAGCGCCUCGGCGCGUAAAGCCCUGUCAGCAGGGAAGAAAAUGACGGUACCUGAAGAAGAAGCCCCGGCUAACUACGUGCCAGAAGCCGCGGGAAUACGUAGGGGGCAAGCGUUAGCCGGAUUUACUGGGUGUAAAGGGGGCGCAGACGGCGAUGCAAGCCAGGAGUGAAAGCCCGGGGCCCAACCCCGGGACUGCUCUUGGAACUGCGUGGCUGGAGUGCAGGAGGGGCAGGCGGAAUUCCUGGUGUAGCGGUGAAAUGCGUAGAUAUCAGGAGGAACACCGGUGGCGAAGGCGGCCUGCUGGACUGCAACUGACGUUGAGGCCCGAAAGCGUGGGGAGCAAACAGGAUUAGAUACCCGAGUAGUC
This 440-nucleotide ribosomal RNA is filed under the name uncultured bacterium. RNAcentral's name for it is "partial 16S ribosomal RNA". It matches the Rfam family "Bacterial small subunit ribosomal RNA", at positions 338 to 795 of the family's 1533-position model. The record is from RNAcentral.